CACGGAGUUAGCCGAUGCUUAUUCAUAUAGUACCGUCAUCAGAGUACACGUACUCCUUAUUCUCCCUAUAUAAAAGCAGUUUACAACCCAUAAGGCAUUCUUCCUGCACGCGGCAUGGCUGGUUCAGUCUUCCGACCAUUGACCAAUAUUCCUCACUGCUGCCUCCCGUAGGAGUCUGGUCCCUGUCUCAGUACCAGUCGUGGGGGAUCUCCCUCUCAGGACCCCUACUAUCGUAGCCUUGGGGUGCCGUUACCACUCCAACUAGCUAAUAGGACGCAUGCCAUCUCUACCGCUCAGCUUUAAUAUCAAACGAUGUACGUACAAGUAAUAUUAUGGGUAUUAAGUCCUAAAUUCUUCGGGCUACUCCCCCUAGUAAAAGGUAGUUA
Molecule: ribosomal RNA, 386 nt
Filed under: uncultured Capnocytophaga sp.
Lineage: Bacteria; Pseudomonadati; Bacteroidota; Flavobacteriia; Flavobacteriales; Flavobacteriaceae
Description: partial 16S ribosomal RNA
Source: RNAcentral